RNAcentral lists this ribosomal RNA (508 nucleotides) under Paenibacillaceae bacterium CL4.54. Its description in RNAcentral is "bacterial SSU rRNA". It matches the Rfam family "Bacterial small subunit ribosomal RNA", at positions 17 to 503 of the family's 1533-position model. The record is from RNAcentral. Lineage: Bacteria; Bacillati; Bacillota; Bacilli; Caryophanales; Paenibacillaceae.
CCCUGGCUCAGGACGAACGCUGGCGGCGUGCCUAAUACAUGCAAGUCGAGCGGAGUAGAUGAGAUGCUUGCAUCUCAGAUACUUAGCGGCGGACGGGUGAGUAACACGUGGGUAACCUGCCUGUAAGAUUGGGAUAACAUUCGGAAACGAAUGCUAAUACCGAAUACGCGAUAUGGUCGCAUGACUGAAUCGGGAAAGAUGGAGCAAUCUAUCACUUACAGAUGGACCCGCGGCGCAUUAGCUAGUUGGUGAGGUAACGGCUCACCAAGGCGACGAUGCGUAGCCGACCUGAGAGGGUGAUCGGCCACACUGGGACUGAGACACGGCCCAGACUCCUACGGGAGGCAGCAGUAGGGAAUCUUCCGCAAUGGACGAAAGUCUGACGGAGCAACGCCGCGUGAGUGAUGAAGGUUUUCGGAUCGUAAAGCUCUGUUGCCAGGGAAGAAUGCUUGGGAGAGUAACUGCUCCCAAGGUGACGGUACCUGAGAAGAAAGACCCCGGCUAACUA